RNAcentral lists this long non-coding RNA (990 nucleotides) under Marmota monax (woodchuck). Lineage: Eukaryota; Metazoa; Chordata; Mammalia; Rodentia; Sciuridae. The record is from RNAcentral.
GUAAAUUACAACCUAAAAUUAGAUAUUUAUAUGAUGAUGAUGAUGAUGAUGAUCUGCUGAUUUAUAUUCUCCAUCAUGGUAUACUUGGCUUUUAGGACAGGAGCUGUCACAUUGUAGGUGCUCAAUGAACAUUUGCUGAGGGAAUGAAUGAUGGAGGAAAUGCUUAGCUAAUUCUGAUUUGCCUUCUCAUUUUGGUAAAGCAAGUAUAAUUAUUAAGGGCAUUUGAAAGUUAAUGUCUUCUUGUACUCUUAUAGAAUUUACUCAAUCAUUCAUUAAUUCAUUCAACAAAUAUUUGCUGCACCUUUUAGGUGACAGUCUAUUUUAGUUGCUGUAGAGAUGGCAGCAAAAAGGACAGAUGGAAACCAACAUUGCUUUUUUUAGGUUCAUGUUAGGGGAGACGACUGUCAGACAACUAAAUACAAAAUUGUUUAACUGCGAUUGUAGCAAGUGUUAUUAUGGAGAUGAUAGUUGGAACACUAAAUAUACAAUGGCUUAAGUGCAGUUGGGACAGUGCCAUCAUGAGAAAAUACAAGUGCUCUCAGGAAACCUUCAUGUCUUUGGUGGAGGGGGACAGGUGGGGGACACUUCUCAGGAAGCAUUGCUAAAAAACGGAAUGUGCAGGAUGAGACUUUGCUCACCAGGUAAAAAUAGGGCAGAGGGAAGAGUCCUCCAGGCAGCAGGAACUGGACGUUCAAGACUGGAAGGAGCUGAAGAGGCCUGUGCACCCAGUGUGGGAGCAAUGUGGUGGGGGACAGCAGGGGAGUAUGGGAGAGGAGUGGGGUGGAUCCCAGGCCUCCUGGACCAGGCAGGAUUUGGACUGUUAUCAUAGGAGUGAAUGAAAGCCCAGUGCAAGGCUUUUGCAGAGCAGGUGGAAACCCAGAGUCGUUCCCCCAGCAUGAAGGAGCGUGAGGGACACUUCAACACUGAUUUUCUGUGUCUUUCCAUGGUGUGUGUUUUGAGUUCUCUGCAGACUGAAUUCCCAGGGGCAGG